UCUUGGGCCCCACCCCCGGAGACU
RNAcentral lists this microRNA (24 nucleotides) under Canis lupus familiaris (dog). Its description in RNAcentral is "cfa-miR-8903". Lineage: Eukaryota; Metazoa; Chordata; Mammalia; Carnivora; Canidae. The record is from miRBase by way of RNAcentral.